CGGAUAUAGUUUAGUGGUAAAACCUCAGCUUCCCAAGCUGAUGCUGCGGGUUCGAUUCCCGUUAUCCG
Molecule: transfer RNA, 68 nt
Filed under: human gut metagenome
Rfam family: tRNA
About the family: Transfer RNA (tRNA) molecules are approximately 80 nucleotides in length. Their secondary structure includes four short double-helical elements and three loops (D, anti-codon, and T loops).
Source: RNAcentral